Molecule: ribosomal RNA, 319 nt
Filed under: uncultured eukaryote
Lineage: Eukaryota
Description: partial 18S ribosomal RNA
Rfam family: Eukaryotic small subunit ribosomal RNA
Source: RNAcentral
CCCUUAGAUGUUCUGGGCCGCACGCGCGCUACAAUGGUCUUCGCAAACGGAUGCAUUCUCGAAGGAGAAUGCCAAUCUUGGAAUCUAUGCCUUGGUCGGGACAGUUGCUUGCAAUUUUUCGACUCGAACUAGGAAUUCCUUGUAAUCGUGAUUCAUCACAUCACGAUGAAUACGUCCCUGCCCUUUGUACACACCGCCCGUCGCUCCUACCGAUCGAAGAGUUAGGUGAAUUGUUUUGAUCGAUAAGAUUUGACUAUGGUCAACUCUCGUUGUGAAAUUCUGUGAAUCUGACUGUUUAGAGGAAGGAAAAGUCGUAACA